AUUGAACGCUGGCGGCAUGCCUUACACAUGCAAGUCGAACGGCAGCAUGCUCUAGCUUGCUAGAUUGAUGGCGAGUGGCGAACGGGUGAGUAAUACAUCGGAACGUGCCCUGUAGUGGGGGAUAACUAGUAGCAAGAUUAGCUAAUACCGCAUACGACCUGAGGGUGAAAGUGGGGGACCGCAAGGCCUCAUGCUAUAGGAGCGGCCGAUGUCUGAUUAGCUAGUUGGUGAGGUAAAGGCUCACCAAGGCGACGAACAGUAGCUGGUCUGAGAGGCCGAUCAGCCACACGGGGACUGAGACAGGGCCCAGACUCCUACGGGAGGCAGCAGUGGGGAAUUUUGGACAAGGGGCGAAAGCCUGAUCCAGCAAUGCCGCGUGUGUGAAGAAGGCCUUCGGGUUGUAAAGCACUUUUGUCCGGAAAGAAAUGGCUCUGGUUAAUACCUGGGGUCGAUGACGGUACCGGAAGAAUAAGAACCGGCUAACUACGUG
RNAcentral lists this ribosomal RNA (490 nucleotides) under uncultured bacterium. Its description in RNAcentral is "partial 16S ribosomal RNA". It matches the Rfam family "Bacterial small subunit ribosomal RNA", at positions 30 to 507 of the family's 1533-position model. The record is from RNAcentral.